RNAcentral lists this long non-coding RNA (765 nucleotides) under Homo sapiens (human). Its description in RNAcentral is "long independently transcribed non-coding RNA 1798 (LINC01798)". The record is from RNAcentral. Lineage: Eukaryota; Metazoa; Chordata; Mammalia; Primates; Hominidae.
CGCUAGGGGAGGGAGGUUUACAAGUGAAGAGUAGUUAGGGAAUAUGGUGACUCUGAAGAAUCGAGAUCAGCAGUGUCCAGGAAUUAGAAAAAAUAAACUGCUAUUUCCGUGAGUUCCCCCUCUGUGAGCCAUUUAGGUAGUGCUGUCCUCAGUCUCUUGGGGCAUACUUCUUUCCCGAUCUGGCACAAAUGACCCCUCAGGGCUUAAAGACUUGAGAAUGACAGAUGAUCAAGCUCUGGACCCAUGUUGAAAGCAGACUUCUGUGAGGAGAAAGAACAGCUGUUUACCAUCUUCCCAGAGUCAAAUUGAACACACUGGAACAGAGAGAUUGCAUUCUUACCCAAAUACUCUUCGUGAUUGCCUGCUUUGCGGCUUUGGGCCGAUGCAAGCUGCAAAAUGGCGAGUCUUCUAAGGUGCCUUUCCUUCCCUGGGAUCCUCAUCUUAGAAUGAGCAGAGGCACAUCGAUAAGAACUGGACCUUGAUUUCACAACCUCAUACAAAGCCAGGCAAUUCUUGAGCCAAACAAAGGGGGUGUAAGCUAUUUCAUUUAUUUUGAUAAUCCUCCUCUUGCACGGGAGCAUUUUGCUGUCUUUGUCAAAGUGAAUGACAACAAUUUGGCCAACUCUCUCUGAGCUGCACUCAACAGUGACAGGCAAAUUAUCAGAGGCCCUGCACUUCUUAUUAUCAGAGGAGAAGCCAUCAGGGGGACGCAUGGAGGAUACCUCUCCCUUGUCACUAUUUGUCAGUGGGACAAGGGCCACUGCU